RNAcentral lists this ribosomal RNA (265 nucleotides) under Shigella flexneri. RNAcentral's name for it is "partial 16S ribosomal RNA". It matches the Rfam family "Bacterial small subunit ribosomal RNA", at positions 105 to 373 of the family's 1533-position model. Lineage: Bacteria; Pseudomonadati; Pseudomonadota; Gammaproteobacteria; Enterobacterales; Enterobacteriaceae. The record is from RNAcentral.
GGUGAGUAAUGUCUGGGAAACUGCCUGAUGGAGGGGGAUAACUACUGGAAACGGUAGCUAAUACCGCAUAACGUCGCAAGACCAAAGAGGGGGACCUUCGGGCCUCUUGCCAUCGGAUGUGCCCAGAUGGGAUUAGCUAGUAGGUGGGGUAACGGCUCACCUAGGCGACGAUCCCUAGCUGGUCUGAGAGGAUGACCAGCCACACUGGAACUGAGACACGGUCCAGACUCCUACGGGAGGCAGCAGUGGGGAAUAUUGCACAAUG